RNAcentral lists this ribosomal RNA (391 nucleotides) under uncultured bacterium. RNAcentral describes it as "bacterial SSU rRNA". It matches the Rfam family "Bacterial small subunit ribosomal RNA", at positions 30 to 418 of the family's 1533-position model. The record is from RNAcentral.
AUUGAACGCUGGCGGCAUGCUUUACACAUGCAAGUCGAACGGCAGCACGGGUGCUUGCACCUGGUGGCGAGUGGCGGACGGGUGAGUAAUACAUCGGAACGUAUCCAGAAGAGGGGGAUAACGCAUCGAAAGAUGUGCUAAUACCGCAUAUUCUCUGAGGAGGAGAGCAGGGGGAUCGAAAGACCUUGCGCUUUGGGAGCGGCCGAUGUCUGAUUAGCUAGUUGGUGGGGUAAAGGCCUACCAAGGCGACGAUCAGUAGUUGGUCUGAGGGGACGACCAGCCACACUGGGACUGAGACACGGCCCAGACUCCUACGGGAGGCAGCAGCGGGGAAUUUUGGACAAUGGGCGCAAGCCUGAUCCAGCAAUGCCGCGUGAGUGAAGAAGGCCUC